This 253-nucleotide ribosomal RNA is filed under the name uncultured bacterium. RNAcentral's name for it is "partial 16S ribosomal RNA". It matches the Rfam family "Bacterial small subunit ribosomal RNA", at positions 524 to 776 of the family's 1533-position model. The record is from RNAcentral.
UACAGAGGGUGCGAGCGUUAAUCGGAAUUACUGGGCGUAAAGCGUGCGUAGGUGGAUACCUAAGUCGAAUGUGAAAUCCCCGGGCUUAACCUGGGAACUGCAUCCGAUACUGGGUAUCUGGAGUAUGGUAGAGGAAAGUGGAAUUCCCGGUGUAGCGGUGAAAUGCGUAGAUAUCGGGAGGAACAUCAGUGGCGAAGGCGACUUUCUGGACUAAUACUGACACUGAGGCACGAAAGCGUGGGGAGCAAACAGG